RNAcentral lists this ribosomal RNA (253 nucleotides) under uncultured bacterium. RNAcentral's name for it is "partial 16S ribosomal RNA". It matches the Rfam family "Bacterial small subunit ribosomal RNA", at positions 524 to 776 of the family's 1533-position model. The record is from RNAcentral.
UACAGAGGGUGCAAGCGUUGUUCGGAAUUAUUGGGCGUAAAGCGCGUGUAGGCGGCUUUGCAAGUCGGGUGUGAAAGCCCUGGGCUCAACCUAGGAAGUGCACUCGAAACUCCCGAACUGGAGUCCCGGAGAGGAAGGUGGAAUUCUCGGUGUAGAGGUGAAAUUCGUAGAUAUCGAGAGGAACAUCGGUGGCGAAGGCGGCCUUCUGGACGGUGACUGACGCUGAGACGCGAAAGCGUGGGGAGCAAACAGG